RNAcentral lists this long non-coding RNA (238 nucleotides) under Solanum tuberosum (potato). RNAcentral's name for it is "long non-coding RNA (STUB_LNC002564)". Lineage: Eukaryota; Viridiplantae; Streptophyta; Magnoliopsida; Solanales; Solanaceae. The record is from RNAcentral.
CUCUUUGUUGCGAACCAGAAACUUCAACCCUUAUCUCUCUUAACUCCAGGGAGGAUCUCCAAGCUCCAAGGAAAUAGAGCAAUCCAAUAGACAAUUAGAAACUCUACUUUCUCUAUCUUCGAGCUCUGGCAAAAGAGCUCUAAGACGAAGCCCAAACCCCGACGAGAACUAAACCUCAUUAUUCUUCUCUCAUUCCCCGACGAAACAAUCUAUGAAACCAAAUCUCAAACAAGCCAAC